CAUUAGUAUGUUGAUACUAAUACAAUAAUACGCAGAUACUUUUCCUCUUAUAUUAUCACACUUUUUAUAGUCGUGUAUAGUAAUUAUUCUUCGUUUAAACAUAUUGUCAGAGGUUAUCACAUAACACCGAUAAUACCGCGAUAAAACGGUAAGAAAAUAUGGGAAAGUAUGUCACGGGAAGUCGCGUACCUAAUUGCGUUAUAAAAGACAGCUCAUUAGUUUUUCACGAACUCAUAAUAGAGUUGACAACCUCACGAACUUACGCGUACGUCGUUUGACACGCGACGCAUGCUUAUUCGUACGCGACUGCCAAUUAUGUAUUUUCUCUCUGUAAAAUUAUUCAAUCCGAUCGGUGUUUUCCCAACUAGUCAGCUGCUAAUGUCUAAGGCAUUAUUCUUUUAUAUUCAGAGUUUACGUAAAUUUUCAGAGUAUAAAAGUACCAAAUUGCAAACUUAUAAAAAGUCAAAUUUCUAAAUUACGAAACUUCCGAAAUUCCAACUUUUCCAACCAUCGAGUUUCUAAAUUACAAAUUCACGAAAUGUUUAAUUUUCAACCUGUCGCAAUUACAAACUCUCGACACUUUCUCUCGCAAUGUCGAAGAUUCAAAUUUCCGAAUUUCAAAAUUCCAAGGUUUGAAGCUCUCAAACUUCGAGUCUUCGAACCUUUCGAAUCCUCGAAUUAUUCCAUUUCACGAUCGAAAACCCUUCAAAGAUAAAGAUUAAAACGUACGACAGGAUCAGUGUACGUGUUUUUACGAUUAUUAGUAUGCGCGAAGGUGAUACGCGCUCGAGGUAAAUUCGUAUCACGCUCCCACUCUUCUUACUAUCAAUCCGAUAACUCUUUGACAACGAUGCACAGAGAUUUAAAUUUCCAUUACAUCUUCCCCCUCCCUCCUCUCUUUUAAAUAUCGAUAACAUCAUUAAAAGCGACUUACACGAAGAAGAAGAAAUUAAAUACACGUUUCGAUCGAAAUCUUACGUACACAAUUUCUCUAGUUAAAGAGAACGUUCUAAAGAUUUGACAAACUUAAAAUUCACGUGAAAACUAUAAAAUAAGAAAAGAAGAACGAUUAAAAAAAGUAUGAUGGAUAAAAAUAUAAAUCGCGACGCGCAGUAGCGUGACGCGACUACGCGGAACCCCGUCCUCGAAGCAGCACCAAAUUCGGUCGACUCGCGAAUGGAAUUGGCAACCUACUGACACACUAAUCGGCGCAUCGACGAGCUCCGUCAUGAAAUCGCGUUCGCUCGAGGCCGAAUUAGGCGACCGUGCAAAAUGACUUGUUCUCGACUUGAAACCGUUCGCUCGAUGACGCAAUCCCGAUACUCCAUCGGCCUAAUUGCGUUUCGUGUCGCAACCCUCUGUACUGGAAGGAAUAGGUAUUACGAUCAACGUGAACGUUUGACCUGCCUUGUACGCGAACGAGAAUCCAUGCAGAUUUGUAAUCGUUAAUUUCAGGUGGCGAAUACGAGGUCUAACAAAGCUUAUUUAGAAUGCGCAUACAGAAAGAACCAUUUAAAUUAUCGACUUAUGAAUGAUUCAAAGUGUUGGUCAUUCGUAUACUUAAGAGAUUCAAAUUUAUCUAUUUUUCGUGUAACAAGUUUUCUUCGAAAUUCACCUUCUUCUUAUCUUAAUUACAUUUAAACUGCUAAUUCGUAAAGGAACAUUAUACGCUAUGUUCCAGAGAAUCGGACGGUCAAGAGAUUCGAAGAUUCUCUUUCCAAGUGUUUCAAGGCUCUGCGAUAUUAUAAAUAUCACGAGAAUUUUCGUUUACUCAUUUGUUAUUCGUUCAACUUAUACGAACACGAACCGUUGUUUGGAGGAAAAAUUAUAUACAAAACAAACGAAAAGCUUUUGAAACGCGUCAUACAUAUGAACGAAUGAAUCACUGGCUCUUCAAGAAUGAAAGAGCGCGGCUAGCUGCUGGGGCAUUUUAAAACUAAGCAAGAACGUUCAGCUGCCUUGCUGUCUGCAAGACAAGCGGCCUAGAGCUGUUAGACAAAACCAGCGACAGAACCGUUUAAGGAGACGCGAAGAAAAAACUGGCGGACGCGAUGAAAGAAUCGGAUCGUCCCGAAAGGGAAAUUCAGUCGUCGUCGAUCGGAUUCCAGAGCGCAACCAUACGAAACGGACUGGAUGCGCAGAAGAGUCCAGUGGCCGAGUCAAUCGACGCGCAACUGACUGAAAAUCGGCUGGUGCUUGCACAGUGGUUAUAAAAAAGGCGCGUGGAAAGGCCGGGGCCGACGAUUUUAGAGGCCAUUCAACGAUCGCGAUAGAUCCGCCGGGAUGAGUCAGAAAACGCAUUAUGUAUUUAUAGAGUUCUCUCUCUGCUCUUCUGUUUCUGCCGUGGGACGAAGUGAAUCACGCGCUCCACCAGAUGAAAAGUAAAAGAGAGAAAGAGAGCAAUUUACGGUCGACCAGAGUGGCGAGAAAUUUUACGCACGUCGUCUUCCGCCGCCUUUUUGCCCCCGCGUCCUCCUUUCGUACGAAUUCCUUCCUUGUUACGUAUCUGUUAUGCGGCCGAGAGUUUUGGUUUCCAACGCGACAGAACCUGACCGAAAGUGGGUCUGUAAUCGCGCCGUUGCGCGUUACCCGGGGAAAGCUUACAUGUGCAGCUUUCUUCGGCAGCUGUAGCUCGCGAUUCAAAGAUCAGCCCCACACCGUACAGCCAUUUUUGAUAUAGCGAACUGCGGAUGUUCGUGCAUUUGUAGAAAAUUAGAGGUGCAAGGGUGCACCGAAGGUUUUACGCGAGAUGCGAUAUAUUUAUUUUUAGUUUUUUUUUUUUUUUCUUUUCUUUUCAGUUAUACAUAUAAGAGCACGAAUUCGCAGCGACGUCUGCGAUCUAUUUAUUAGUUUGGUUACAGUGGCAAGGUAAACGCGUUGAGAAUAGUCUGGGUGGGAUUGGAGAUUAUAAAUGUACGUUGACUAAUGUAAUCUUCGUGAAAGAGAUAUGGAUUUUCAUUGCCAAGACAGAAGUUUGGGGAACUCUGAACAGAAAUAUGCACCCGAGUGUUGUUAGGAACAUAAGACAUCAGCCCAUUAUAGUAGUACAAGAAGGAUUGUUUCCUUUUUUUUCCAGCUGCAGGUUAAUUUUAACCGAUACGUACGGUAUCUAAUUACGUGGAAUA
Bombus pascuorum is the source of this 3125-nucleotide long non-coding RNA. RefSeq lists it as uncharacterized. Lineage: Eukaryota; Metazoa; Arthropoda; Insecta; Hymenoptera; Apidae. The record is from RefSeq and is a predicted model, not a curated record. The transcript has 2 exons.